GUGAGGAAUAUUGGUCAAUGGACGAGAGUCUGAACCAGCCAAGUCGCGUGAAGGAAGACGGUUCUAUGAAUUGUAAACUUCUUUUGUGCAGGAAUAAAGUGGGUUACGUGUAACCUUUUGUAUGUACUGUACGAAUAAGGAACGGCUAACUCCGUGCCAGCAGCCGCGGUAAUACGGAGGAUCCGAGCGUUAUCCGGAUUUAUUGGGUUUAAAGGGUGCGUAGGUGGAUUGAUAAGUCAGCGGUGAAAGUUUGCAGCUUAACUGUAAAAUUGCCGUUGAAACUGUCGAUCUUGAGUGCAAAUGAGGUAAGCGGAAUGUGUUGUGUAGCGGUGAAAUGCUUAGAUAUAACACAGAACACCGAUUGCGAAGGCAGCUUACUGGGAUGCAACUGACGCUCAUGCACGAAAGCGUGGGGAUCAAACAGGAUUAGAAACCCUUGUAGUCC
Molecule: ribosomal RNA, 445 nt
Filed under: uncultured bacterium
Lineage: Bacteria
Description: partial 16S ribosomal RNA
Rfam family: Bacterial small subunit ribosomal RNA
Source: RNAcentral